CUUUGCGGUGGCUGUUGUUGACGUUGUUGUUGAACGAGCAUUGAUUGAUUGUUUGAAAAUACUGGAAUAACAGAUGAUACUUGAUGAUGGUGUUGACGAGGCUGUGGACUUCUUCUAACAUGAGGCCUCCUCUGCCUCCCAACGGACACUGCAUUAGUCUCGCCUUCUUUAUUUCUGGAAAACCCACUAUCGUACUUCUUGCUAGACG
This 208-nucleotide long non-coding RNA is filed under the name Lathyrus oleraceus (garden pea). RNAcentral describes it as "Pisum sativum (pea) long non-coding RNA (PSAT_LNC005722)". Lineage: Eukaryota; Viridiplantae; Streptophyta; Magnoliopsida; Fabales; Fabaceae. The record is from RNAcentral.